ACACUUAGUGUAAAACUAUAUUAAUUUCAUCAUAAUCUACAAUAAAGAAAGUAUUAAAAAAUGAGAUUAUGAUAUAAU
The submitters of this non-coding RNA (78 nucleotides) gave its source as unclassified sequences. The record is from Rfam.